GUAGGUGGCAAGCGUUGUCCGGAAUUAUUGGGCGUAAAGCGCGCGCAGGCGGUUCUUUAAGUCUGAUGUGAAAGCCCACGGCUCAACCGUGGAAGGUCAUUGGAAACUGGAGAACUUGAGUACAGAAGAGGAAAGCGGAAUUCCACGUGUAGCGGUGAAAUGCGUAGAGAUGUGGAGGAACACCAGUGGCGAAGGCGGCUUUCUGGUCUGUAACUGACGCUGAGGCGCGAAAGCGUGGGGGAGCAAACAGGAUUAGAUACCCUGGUAGUCCACGCCGUAAACGAUGAGUGCUAAGUGUUAGGGGGUUUUCCCGCCCCUUAGUGCUGCAGCUAACGCAUUAAGCACUCCCGCCUGGGAGUACGGCCGCAAGGCUG
Molecule: ribosomal RNA, 374 nt
Filed under: uncultured organism
Description: partial 16S ribosomal RNA
Rfam family: Bacterial small subunit ribosomal RNA
Source: RNAcentral